AGCUGGAUUUGCCUGGGUCAGACAGAGUGGGGCCGAGCUAAGGAGAAAGCAGGGGCCUGAGCUGAGCUGGGGAGCAGAGCUGUGCCAGAUCCAGAGAGAGCAGACCCUGUCCUGGGAGCAGAGCUGCAGCCCCAAAGCCAGAGGCACAGCCCAGAGAGAGCAGACUUGCCCUGGGAGCAGAGCUGUAGGAACCAGAGCCAGAGGGGCCAGAAAAGCAGCCCACGAAGCAGGUCUGUCCUGGGUAUUCUAAUUGCUUGAAACAAGGAAGAGGUGAUUGUGUGUCUACCCAGAAGUACAAGUUGAAGAAGACUUUGAUGAUGAACCUGAGGAAGACUUUGAUAUGGUGCAGGAACCAGAACCCCCGGCUGGGCCUUGCGCUCCUGAGAGGGAAACCAUGCCCCCAAGAGGGCAGGAGCAGCACCCCAGAGAGUGCAGGGGUAGACGGAGAAGGGGAUAGGGAUGGACAGGAGAAGCCAGGAGCAAUUUGAGUUCCUUAAAGCAAGGGAGGAGCAGUGUCUUCAGCAGGAGAAGAGACCUCUGGAGAUGGAGGUGAGCCACGCCCUAGGGAACAGGAACGUUCCCUAAUGGAGAGGCUUCGAGGACUGGUGACUGACAGACUGCAGCAUCUGUCUGCUGCUGAGGCCCCAGAACCAGCCCAUCAACUACCAUUGCUGCUGCCUUCUCUGGUUGCCACCCAGGGUGCUGCUGAGCCUGUAGGUCCUGUUCCAAUGACCACCCAGGAGAACAAUGCUGGGCGUGCAGGAAUUCCCGAAUGCCACCAUGUACUGGCCCCUAAAGCCCGUCAGAAGAGAUGUCCCUUAUUUUCACUGUGAGUCAUUAUCUCUUAUCAUUCACCCCUUCUGAUGGGAGACAGGUGCAAAGAUAUUAAACUGUGGGUGCUAUUCUUGGUUGUGAGCCGUUAAUUUAAAAAAAAUAUGUUCUGUUUUGAGAAUACUUCCUUAAAAUCUUUAUUACAUGUUACGUUUUGUUCAGUUGUAUCUGGCACCUCCUUCCUAAGUAUGAUGAACUGAGGGUGUUUUUUGAUUUGGGAAUGGACCUCAAGCUUCCUACCUUGUGUAAACAAAUGAUGUAUAAAAUUCUGGUGCUAUGACUAUGGAAAUAUUUCUGAGUCUCCCACAAAAUUAAAAAAUAUCUGAAGUCCCAGGGAUACAGAGCAGGGCUGGGGAAAGUGAAGUGUAUGUUAUAGAUGCUUUUCAACAUAGCAGGUGCCUUGCAUAGGGUUGAUCAAUGUCUGUCUUAAUGCAUUUGUUGAAUGUGUUGAAAAUGAAAAACCAAAGCCAACAACAAAAAAGGGAACAUACCAGCAAUCACACAGCAUCUGCCAGUACCCUGUACAACCUGCCCCCUAUCCAUCCCCAAAACCUUUAGCAUUUUCAAGCAGACCGGGGAAUUAGUGGUUUCUAACAACUGUGAAAUGUACUUGGCACUAGUGACCAUUUUAAGUUACUGAACACAGUGGCUGCAACACACCCACCCACACAGGAAACCCUCAUAAACAUUUUAAAAACAUUUAACUGCGUGUGGUAAUAGGGGUUUCUAAAGAUGAGUUAACUGUGCCAGGCUGUUGAGGCAUUAAAUAGUUAUUCAGGCACACGGUGAUGUCAUUUCUCUCCAUCACUGGGAAAAUCCCACACCUUAAACAUGUCUCAAAAGGUUGAUGUUAUGGGUUCAGUCCAGCAGUGAAUUGUGCUGUUCAGUACAAUACUUUGCAACCCAGUAUUCAGAAAAGUACAAACGGGUUCUUCACCCACCAAAGCGAAACUGGAAAC
This is a non-coding RNA of Caretta caretta (loggerhead turtle), 1790 nucleotides long. NCBI's taxonomy places the organism in Eukaryota, Metazoa, Chordata, Testudines, Cheloniidae. The record is from RefSeq and is a predicted model, not a curated record.